Molecule: ribosomal RNA, 478 nt
Filed under: uncultured bacterium
Lineage: Bacteria
Description: partial 16S ribosomal RNA
Rfam family: Bacterial small subunit ribosomal RNA
Source: RNAcentral
AUGAACGCUAGCGGGAGGCUUAACACAUGCAAGCCGAGGGGUAUAGUUCUUUCGGGAACUAGAGACCGGCGCACGGGUGCGUAACGCGUAUGCAACUUGCCCUACUGAAAAGGAUAGCCCUUCGAAAGGAGGAUUAAUACUUUAUAACAGAUUUAAUGGCAUCAUUAGAUUUUGAAAGAUUUAUCGCAGUAGGAUAGGCAUGCGUAAGAUUAGUUAGUUGGUGAGGUAACGGCUCACCAAGACGAUGAUCUUUAGGGGGCCUGAGAGGGUGAACCCCCACACUGGUACUGAGACACGGACCAGACUCCUACGGGAGGCAGCAGUGAGGAAGAUUGGACAAUGGGUGGAAGCCUGAUCCAGCCAUCCCGCGUGUAGGAUGACGGCCUUAUGGGUUGUAAACUACUUUUAUCUGGGGAUAAACCUACUUACGUGUAAGUAGCUGAAGGUACCAGAAGAAUAAGCACCGGCUAACUCCGUG